RNAcentral lists this ribosomal RNA (254 nucleotides) under uncultured bacterium. Its description in RNAcentral is "partial 16S ribosomal RNA". It matches the Rfam family "Bacterial small subunit ribosomal RNA", at positions 524 to 776 of the family's 1533-position model. The record is from RNAcentral.
UACGUAGGGUGCUAGCGUUGUCCGGAUUUAUUGGGCGUAAAGGGCUCGUAGGCGGCGUGUCGCAUCGGGAGUGAAAGCCCGCUGCUUAACGGCGGGUUGGCUUCCGGUACGGGCAUCGCUGGAGUGCGGCAGGGGAGACUGGAAUUCCUGGUGUAGCGGUGGAAUGCGCAGAUAUCAGGAGGAACACCGGUGGCGAAGGCGGGUCUCUGGGCCGUUACUGACGCUGAGGAGCGAAAGCGUGGGGAGCGAACAGG